Molecule: long non-coding RNA, 908 nt
Organism: Vicia villosa (hairy vetch)
Lineage: Eukaryota; Viridiplantae; Streptophyta; Magnoliopsida; Fabales; Fabaceae
Exons: 3
Source: RefSeq, a predicted model, not a curated record
GUGCUAUUGAGUUCACUCCCGGAGACGUACGAGAAAUUACACGCUCAAUUUCUCAAACGUUAAACGCAAGGAAUCCAAUUUAGAGGUUGGAAUAAUGAAAGGGUUGUUAUGCGGUGAAGGUUGCUGAUGGUGGAUGUUGUAGUUGAAGCUCAGAACUGAGUUGUGGAGGAAUGUUUGGAUGUUGCGAUUCAGUGAAGUAGAUGCAUAUUGUUGGGAAGUUGCGAGUUGAUGUGUUGAUUUUUGUUGAAAUUCGCAAGUACGGGUUUCGGUUCUGAUUGCGUUUUGGUGAUGCUAAAAGCGGGUUGAGUUCGAUUGGAAAAUGGGUGAGGAUGCGAAGUUUGUUGAAGGUGAAAACGAGUCCAGAUGUGAAGCUCAGGAAGAAUCAGGUGGAUGCAAGCAACACUAGUUGACUUUUAUAUCAAUGUUGUGGCCCUAGCAGUAAGUCUACAUUUUAUUAAUCUUAGUAGCUCUAAAUUUAUUUCACUGACUUGGCGGAUUAAUAUUCAAGAAGUUCUGUUUGUCCACAAAUAGAUUUUAAGACACUCUGUUGACAUUAUUAUUUUUUUUGUGCUUAUAACAGAAAGACUUAUUCUAUGAAAUUGUCAAUACUCCUCUCCCUGAACUUGACAAUUGCAAUGAGAGAACAAAUAACUGAAUUCCCUUAAUGCAAAUAACUUCUCACUUAGCUAUGUAGUAUUAGAUAGAUACAUAUUACUCUAUUUAGAAGGUAUGAAAUGUAAAUGAUUUCCAUCAAUAGAAAAAAACUGGUGUUUGGUUUAUUUUAAGUUUUCAUUUUCAGUUGAUGAUAAGUUUUCACAUAAUAAGAAAAAUGCUAUCUAUUUUUAUUUUCACUACCGUGCCUCAAGAUUUUUUAGUGGUGAGAAUGACAAAAUCUUGUUUCCAUUCUA